AGGUUCAACAGUGAAAUUAAGAAGAUCUUCAACCACAGCAGAAAUGAAAUCGUCGUCAUUCAUUUCGGCUUUGACAACAACUAAUGAAGAGUUUAGAUAUUUGAUUACGUUAUUUGGUGUGUGUAUUUCUAUAAUGGGUCUGAAAUGUGUAGUGUUUCUUUCUUAAGAGAACACCUGUGACAACACUAGGGGUAAACUAGGGAAGCAAGGAAAGAAAAGAGGGGAAACGUGGAUGUUAGGGGAGAAAUUCUAUUUUCGCUUUACAUAACCGAGAAAACAGAUAACAUAAAUUUCAAGAGAUAGGAAUUGGGCAACUUUUGGAGAUAGAAAUUCACAUCUGCCUCUUGAAGUGAAAAUAGAAGAUAGGAUUUUAUAUACCUGUACUGAAAAUUGAUAAAGGGAGAAGAAAAUUAAGAGGAAUGUGAAAUUAAACACGAUCUAAGCUUUUAUAUAGGAUUAAGGGGCUGGGAAAUUUAAGACGUGGACUAACUGGCAUAAGAUUUCAUUUCGAGAACAAGGUGGGAAUUUAGACAGAAAUUCAGUAACAGGUGGAACAACUGCAGUGAAAAACAAAGGAAAAGAAGAGGAAGGUGAAUACUACGUUUGGCUUGAGCGAGUAAUUCCAAGUAGAUGAGUUGUGAAGUAAAAGUAUUUUGUGACUUCUGUUGUCUUUAUGUGCCCUGUAAAACACUUUUUUUUGUUUUGUGAAGAAUGGUGGAUCUGAUGCUAUGUGCAUGUGCAGACUUAUGUCGUUAUGUAUGCAGUAGUUGUGAAAUGUAAAUAGUAAUAUGUAUAGGUAUUCACGAAGUCGUUUUUGAGUCAAUAAAGUCUCUUUGGUGUCUCCAAGUUAGACUUAAACGUUUAAGUAUGAAAAUUGGGGCGUUCCAUGUUAAUUACUUACUGAGAGAGUCUGAGACCUAGAUUCUUUCUUCGUGGUGUCUCAUUUUCAGAUUUUGUGUUUACUAUUUUUGUAUUGUCUCCAAAUACAUAUCUUAUUGGCAGAUACUUUAUUGAUAUCUUCUUCUGAUAUGUGUAUGGAAGUGCUUGUUUUAAUUUGUUGUCUUUUGAACAGGCUUAUAUGUAUGGGUUUUUCAAAAACAAGCGUACUGUGUUGUACGACACCUUGAUUCAACAGGUAAUUUAUGUUUAGAACUAGUGUCGUUUUCUAUUUGGAGUGCGGAAGAUGUCAUCUCGAAUUGUGAUCUGUAGAACGCUAUCGACUGCCUGCAUUUUCUGUUCAUUAUAUAUGCUUUAAACUAGUACUAGUAUAAUAAUUUUCGGUUGGUGGGAAACAACAUUCAGAUGAGGUUUAUAGAGCAUGUAUUUCUUAUUCUUCGUUGGAUUAGCUCUGUAACCCUUAAUAUAUGGAUGUGUAACUCCUAGUUACAUAAGUCAUAUGAAUGUGUAACUUCUAGUUACACAUGCAUAUAGCAUGUGCAACUCUUAUUUACACUAGUCACAUACCUGUAUAAUUUUGGGUUCUAAUUUUUGAUGAACUGCUUUAUUUAUUUUGAUGAACUAAUUUUUGAUGAACUGCUUUAUUUAUUUUUGUUUGAUAUUUUGAUUUUAUUGUACGUGAGAGAGGGGAUUUGUUGCCGUAGAUGGCAUUGAAGCUUAGCUGGUGAAGAUGCAGUUCUCAAGUGAACUGCAGGUGGUAUGAGGAUGGAACUGAGCAUGGGAAUGGUUAUGAACAGGCUGUUGUUGCUAAUUACAAGUUAUGUAGGUGUUGAUUUCAGAGCAUGAAAGUUCACAGAGAGCUGUAGGAGUGUGCAAGUGGUACAAAUGCAGAUUUGGCGUUGGUUUGGAAUGAACUGGUAGCUAUGGGAUGAAUGGGAAUAGCUCAGGUAUGCACUGGUUGAAGAAUCAGAUGGGUUUCAGUUAAUGAUGCUCAGAUAGAUGUAUGUUAGGAGUUAACAUUACAGGUACUGGUGCAGCUGCAGUUAAGACAGUGGUAAUGAAAUAGAGGAAAUUCAGAUGUGAAGUAAGCUCUUUCAGAUGUGCAAAUAUAUUGGAAUCGAGAAAGACAAAAAGGGAAGAAAACAUUUCUAUUAUAGGAUAUAAUGAAUUAUUUCUAGGAUUUCGCUUUCCGUAUCUCAUGUUUUAAUUCGUUUAUUGUGUUCAAACAACCAAUUACUAUGAUUGUAGUAAUUGAUAAACAGACAAAUUAUUAUAAAUGAAAAUUAAAGUAAUAUAUGUAUUUUAUUGUGAACAA
Long non-coding RNA from Papaver somniferum (opium poppy), 2212 nucleotides. RefSeq lists it as uncharacterized. NCBI's taxonomy places the organism in Eukaryota, Viridiplantae, Streptophyta, Magnoliopsida, Ranunculales, Papaveraceae. The record is from RefSeq and is a predicted model, not a curated record. The transcript is spliced from 5 exons.